AUGGAAGUGCAGGGGUUAGGAGGGGCCGCAGGCUGGACAGCAGCUCAGGUAAGGACGGACCCGUGUCCCACCUCCAGCAGCUCCUGGGGCUCUGUCCCCUCCUGCUCUUGUCCUGACCCUGCCCCAGGAAGGUCCCCGCAGGGCUCACAGGGAUGUUUUCCACAGAAUUAUGGAAUGGGAUGGGUGGGAAGGGACCUCAGAGCCACCAGUGCCACCCCUGCCAUGGCAGGGACACCUCCACUGUCCCAGUGCUCCCAGCCCCAGUGUCCAGCCUGGCCUUGGGCACUGCCAGGGAUCCAGGGGAAUCUGGGAAUUCCAUCCCAGCCCUGCCCACCCUGCCAGGGAACAAUUCCCAGUUCCCAAUCUCCCACCCAGCCCUGCCCUCUGGCACUGGGAGCCAUUCCCUGGGUCCUGUCCCUCCAUCCUUGUCCCCAGUCCCUCUGCAGCUCUCCUGGAGCCCCUUCAGGCCCUGCCAGGGGCUCUGAGCUCUCCUGGAUCCCCUCCAGGCCCUGCCAGGGGCUCUGAGCUCUGCCCAGAGUGGGAAAACACCGACACCAGCUCUGCCAGCCUUAUCUCCCACUGUAUUGUCACCAGCUCUGCCAACCUUAUCUCCCAUUUUAUUGUCCCCUCUGUAACAGGAAACAGGAGCCCCUGGUGAUGGACACUGUCCAGACAAACCCAAAAUCCAUUGUGUGCCCCCGGAAAGGCUCUCAGUUAAUAAGGGGCACAGCAGGUGGACAGACAGACAGACAGACAGACAGACAGACAGACAGACGGGUGCAGGGCUGGAGCACGGAGCUCUCCAGGGAGAUCCUUAUCUCCCCCACCUGAAAAGCUGCCAGGAGCAGCUCGGGUUUCCACCCUCUGGAAGUUUGCCCAUCUCCCCCCACUCCCGGUGGGCAGGAGGAGAAAAUCCUCCCGGGGUCACCGGGACCAGGAGGGGACCAGGAGGGGACGGGGACAGCAGGGACCUUCCUCUGCCACCCCUUCCCUCUGCCCGGGUGGAGAAACCCUGUCACCUGUCACUGUCCCCCUGCCAGGGGCCAGAGAAUCCCUGCUGGACCCAAAGCAGGAUUUUGUGGGAUCAGCCCGGCAGCAGCGCCUCUGCCAAGGGAAAAAAGGGGAUUUGCCCUUCCCACCCCCCAGCAGCGCAAGGAGAGAGCCCCAGAGGGGCUCGGGAGUCUCUCCGACAGUUUUUGCAUUAGAAAUUCAAGUCCUGCCCGAUCUGGGAAACAAUCUGGUAACUCAAGAACAGUGAAAUUGCAGCGGUGGAGGGGUGGGCUGCCAGAGCCCGGUGAGGCUUUUCCUGCAGCCCUGGGAGGCUCUGAGGAAGGGACAGGGGUGACCCUGCCACCCCCGGGCUGGACGGGGCAGGGGAGCCCCAGUGCCCCCCGAGCCCGGCGGGACCCCAGCGCCAGCGAGGAGCAGCACUGAGAAACGAGGGAGAGGGACCAGCCCCGCCAGCACUGCCCAGGCCACCACGAACCCUGUCCCCAAGUGCCACGUCCACAGGGCCUUGGACACCUCCAGGAUGGGCACUCCAACCCUCCCUGGGCAGUGCCAAGGCCUGAGCCCCUUUCCAGGCAGAAAUUCCUGCUGCUGCCCACCCUGAGCCUGCCCUGGCCCAGCCUGAGCCCAUUUCCCCGUGUCCUGUCCCUGUUCCCUGGAGCAGAGCCCGACCCCCCCUGGCUGUCCCCUCCUGUCAGGAGCUGUGCAGAGCCACAAGGUCCCCCCUGAGCUCCUUUUCUCCAGGCUGAGCCCCUUCCCAGCUCCCCCAGCCCCUCCUGGGGCUCCAUUCCCUCCCCAGCUCCCAGCACUGCUGGCCCCAGGGCCAGGCGGGAUCUCGGUGGGAUCUCGGUGGAAUUUCCAUGGGAUCUCUGUGGGAUUGCUGUGGGAUUGCUGUGGGAUCGCUGUGGGGUCUCUGCACGAUCUCAGUGGGAUUUCAGCAGGGUUCCUGCAGGAUCUCAGUGAGGUUUCUGUGGAAUCUCUGCAGGGUCUCUGCAGGAUUUCUAUGGGAUCUCUGUGGGAUCACUGUGGGAUCUCUGUGGGAUCUCUGUGGGAUUUCUGUGGGAUCUCUGCAGGAUCUCUAGGGGAUUUCUGUGGGAUUUCUGUGUGAUCUCAGCGGGAUCUCUGCAGGAUUUCUAUGGGGUCUCUGUGGGAUCUCUCUGGGAUUUCUGUGAGAUCUCUGCAGGAUCUCUAUGGGAUUUCUAUGGGAUCUCUGUGGGA
This 2226-nucleotide long non-coding RNA is filed under the name Taeniopygia guttata (zebra finch). Its description in RNAcentral is "lncRNA (ENSTGUG00000023780.1)". The record is from RNAcentral. Lineage: Eukaryota; Metazoa; Chordata; Aves; Passeriformes; Estrildidae.